AGCAUCAACAGGGAUUGCCCCAGUAACGGCGAGUGAAGCGGCAGGAGCUCAGAUUUGAAAUCUGGGGCCCCCGGCCUCCGAGUUGUAAUUUGGAGAGGCUCCUUCGGGGGGGAGCGCUGGCCCAUGUUCCUUGGAACAGGACGUCGCAGAGGGUGAGAAUCCCGUGCCAGGCCGGCUGCCUCCUCCCGCGUGAAGGGCCUUCGACGAGUCGAGUUGUUUGGGAAUGCAGCUCCAAGCGGGUGGUAAAUUUCAUCUAAAGCUAAAUACCGGCGGGAGACCGAUAGCGCACAAGUAGAGUGAUCGAAAGAUGAAAAGCACUUUGAAAAUAGAGUCAAAAAGUACGUGAAAUUGUUGAAAGGGAAGCGCUUGAGACCAGACUCAGACCCAGGCAAACACCGCGCCCCCAGGGGCCGUGCAAUUGCCCGGUGCUGGGCCAGCAUCAGUUGGCGUGGCGGGACAAGGGCGCGGGAAAUGUGGCUCCCCUCGGGGAGUGUUACCAGGCCCGCGCCGGAUGCCGCCGACGCCGACUGAGGACCGCGCCUCGGCUAGGAUGCUGGCUUAAUGGCCUUCAGCGACCCGUCUUGAAACACGGACCAAGGAGUCUAACAUCUAUGCGAGUGUUUGGGCGCCAAACCCUUGCGCGGAAUGAAAGUGAGCGGAGGUGGGAACCCCUCAACCGGGCGCACCAUCGACCGAUCCUGAUGUCUUCGGAUGGAUUUGAGUAGGAGCAUAGCUGUUGGGACCCGAAAGAUGGUGAACUAUGCCUGAAUAGGGUGAAGCCAGAGGAAACUCUGGUGGAGGCUCGCAGCGGUUCUGACGUGCAAAUCGAUCGUCAAAUUUGGGUAUAGGGGCGAAAGACUAAUCGAACCAUCUAGUAGCUGGUCUGC
Molecule: ribosomal RNA, 887 nt
Filed under: Helvella zhongtiaoensis
Lineage: Eukaryota; Fungi; Ascomycota; Pezizomycetes; Pezizales; Helvellaceae
Description: eukaryotic LSU rRNA
Rfam family: Eukaryotic large subunit ribosomal RNA
Source: RNAcentral